RNAcentral lists this ribosomal RNA (360 nucleotides) under Eukaryota sp. Its description in RNAcentral is "SSU rRNA". It matches the Rfam family "Eukaryotic small subunit ribosomal RNA", at positions 1325 to 1699 of the family's 1831-position model. The record is from RNAcentral.
GCGUUAACGAACGAGACCUUAACCUGCUAAAUAGUUAGGCCAACGUUUGUUGGUCGUCAACUUCUUAGAGGGACUAUCGGUGCGCAGCCGAUGGAAGUUCGAGGCAAUAACAGGUCUGUGAUGCCCUUAGAUGUUCUGGGCCGCACGCGCGCUACACUGACGGGUUCAUCGAGCUAAGCGUUUGUUACCUUGACUGACAGGUCUGGGGAAUCUUUGGAAUGCCCGUCGUGCUGGGGAUAGACCCUUGGAAUUAUGGAUCUUGAACGAGGAAUUCCUAGUAAACGCAAGUCAUCAGCUUGCAUUGAUUACGUCCCUGCCCUUUGUACACACCGCCCGUCGCUAAUACCGAUUGAAUGGAUA